Molecule: ribosomal RNA, 460 nt
Filed under: uncultured bacterium
Lineage: Bacteria
Description: partial 16S ribosomal RNA
Rfam family: Bacterial small subunit ribosomal RNA
Source: RNAcentral
CCUACGGGUGGCAGCAGUGAGGAAUAUUGGUCAAUGGGCGCGAGCCUGAACCAGCCAAGUAGCGUGAAGGAUGACUGCCCUACGGGUUGUAAACUUCUUUUAUACAGGAAUAAAGUGAGGCACGUGUGCCUUUUUGUAUGUACUUUAUGAAUAAGGAUCGGCUAACUCCGUGCCAGCAGCCGCGGUAAUACGGAGGAUCCGAGCGUUAUCCGGAUUUAUUGGGUUUAAAGGGAGCGUAGAUGGGUUGUUAAGUCAGUUGUGAAAGUUUGCGGCUCAACCGUAAAAUUGCAAUUGAUACUGGCAGCCUUGAGUUCAGUUGAGGUAGGCGGAAUGUGUGGUGUAGCGGUGAAAUGCUUAGAGAUCACGAAGAACUCCGAUUGCGAAGGCAGCUUACCAAACUGCCACUGACAUUGAGGCUCGAAAGUGUGGGUAUCAAACAGGAUUAGAUACCCCUGUAGUC